UCCGUAGGUGAACCUGCGGAGGGAUCAUUACCGAGUUUACAACUCCCAAACCCCUGUGAACAUACCACUUGUUGCCUCGGCGGAUCAGCCCGCUCCCGGUAAAACGGGACGGCCCGCCAGAGGACCCCUAAACUCUGUUUCUAUAUGUAACUUCUGAGUAAAACCAUAAAUAAAUCAAAACUUUCAACAACGGAUCUCUUGGUUCUGGCAUCGAUGAAGAACGCAGCAAAAUGCGAUAAGUAAUGUGAAUUGCAGAAUUCAGUGAAUCAUCGAAUCUUUGAACGCACAUUGCGCCCGCCAGUAUUCUGGCGGGCAUGCCUGUUCGAGCGUCAUUUCAACCCUCAAGCCCUCGGGUUUGGUGUUGGGGAUCGGCGAGCCCUUUGCGGCAAGCCGGCCCCGAAAUCUAGUGGCGGUCUCGCUGCAGCUUCCAUUGCGUAGUAGUAAAACCCUCGCAACUGGUACGCGGCGCGGCCAAGCCGUUAAACCCCCAACUUCUGAAUGUUGACCUCGGAUCAGGUAGGAAUACCCGCUGAACUUAAGCAUAUCAAUAAGCGGAGGA
Molecule: ribosomal RNA, 559 nt
Filed under: Fusarium acutatum
Lineage: Eukaryota; Fungi; Ascomycota; Sordariomycetes; Hypocreales; Nectriaceae
Description: eukaryotic LSU rRNA
Rfam family: 5.8S ribosomal RNA (bases 179-332)
Source: RNAcentral